UAUGGGCGUCGACCGGCGCACGGGUGAGUAACACGUAUCCAACCUGCCGAUAACUCGGGGAUAGCCUUUCGAAAGAAAGAUUAAUACCCGAUGGUAUAAUCAGACCGCAUGGUUUGAUUAUUAAAGAAUUUCGGUUAUCGAUGGGGAUGCGUUCCAUUAGGCAGUUGGUGAGGUAACGGCUCACCAAACCUUCGAUGGAUAGGGGUUCUGAGAGGAAGGUCCCCCACAUUGGAACUGAGGCACGGUCCAA
This 250-nucleotide ribosomal RNA is filed under the name uncultured bacterium. Its description in RNAcentral is "partial 16S ribosomal RNA". It matches the Rfam family "Bacterial small subunit ribosomal RNA", at positions 83 to 334 of the family's 1533-position model. The record is from RNAcentral.